CGAACCUUCCAUCUCUGUCCGGGGUUGGCCAAAUAAAUGCAAGCUCACUCCCAGAGCCAAACCGUAGCUCCUUAGCGACCAAUGCCAGGGUGAGUGGCGAUGGGGAGCCGGUGGGGGCCUCAGGUGCUCCAAGAGGAGUAUUUACUGUGACAGGCACAUCUGACCUCGGCCUUCACACACCUUAUAUCGGAAAAAGUGAAAAAGUGGAAGAAUCGACUUGAGUGAAGAAGAUACGGAUCACUUUUCCAGAGACAAAUUUUAUCUUGAUUGCAAAGAGAAGGAAAAACACUGAUGACUUUCUGUCACCAAGUAUAUUUUGAACUGGGUUCUGCCCGUUGGGCAUUCGCAUCCUCAGGACCCCUGGAUGGACGUCUACAUCAGACUCUUUGCCAAUGACAGGUCUUCUGCUUAAUUGUGGGAACCAGGAAGGAAGGGCAGGAAACCCCUGAGCCAAAUCUGCUGACAUGUCCCAUGUAUGCAGAGAGAGAGAGAGAAUGCAAGCAGGCGAGGGGCAGA
Molecule: long non-coding RNA, 516 nt
Organism: Hyaena hyaena (striped hyena)
Lineage: Eukaryota; Metazoa; Chordata; Mammalia; Carnivora; Hyaenidae
Exons: 4
Source: RefSeq, a predicted model, not a curated record